AGAGAGAGAGAGAGAGAGAGAGAGAGAGAGAGAGAGAGAGAGAGAGAGAGCGCGGCGCGCGCGUGUGCCCAAGCCCACACGCCCACAGUCUCAUGCAGGGAUGUAUGGUGACCAGAGGACAGCUGGACAGUUGACUUUUUCUACUGUCGCUUCGGACAGCUCAGGUCUCAGGCUCACACAGCGAACACUUCCCCCCUAUCCUGCCAGCCCUACUGACUGUUUCUCUUACAUUACUUCUCUUUCUCUCCCUGUAGCUACUUAUCUCUUGAUUUAUUUUGUUUGUUUGUGUCUCAGAGACAGGGUUUCCAUGUGUAGCUCUGGUUGUGACGACCGGGCUGGCCUUGAAUUUAGAGAUAAGCCUGUUUCUGCCUCCAGUGCUGGGAUUGAGGGCGUGCACCACCACACCUGGCGGUCAUUUUAUUCUUAACUUGGGAGACGUUGACUGUUUCCUGUGGGCAGCGCCGAGAGAGUUGUCACAGUGGAACUGCCGUGAGGCCCCGUGUCUUCCUUCUGAGAUGGGCCAGUCUUCUCUGAAAUGCAAUCUAGUAGAAAUGAUACCAAAGAUGAUCGUGGUAACUCAAAAGUGCCUGAUUCUCCUGGUCAUGGCUUUGUCCCUCCACCGGGUCCCCCAGUUCCUCCUGUGGACCCAAGGAGCCAGUUUAUGGGAAGGGCCUGCCCCUUCCCCCCACCUUCUCCAAGAAACAUCUAUGGAGCUCCUCCAGAUUAUUAUUCUCCACCU
Non-coding RNA from Peromyscus maniculatus bairdii (prairie deer mouse), 739 nucleotides. Lineage: Eukaryota; Metazoa; Chordata; Mammalia; Rodentia; Cricetidae. The record is from RefSeq and is a predicted model, not a curated record.